AUGGGAGGCAGAGACAGAGGGGGAGACAGAGACAGGGGGAGAGACAGAGACAGAGGCAGGACGAGCCAAGGAACCCUAUGCCCUCAGCCCUCCUGCAGCCUCGCCCAGAGCCCCGGACCCUCCGUGGGGCCACUGAGCCCAGGGCCGCCCUGGACUGCCCUCCCCUCCCCCACCCUGUUGUUCGGGCCACAGGCUGAAGGGACCAGUCUAUUUGGACCCAUCGAGGUCCGGGGACCAGCAGGGCACCUGGCUUACGAGCCACCAGGUGUAAAACUCCCUUCUACUCUCAAACUUUCCAGAGUCUGCCCUUUAAACCAGCCACUGCCUUGCAAAAUCUCAGCGGAAGAAACCUUUCUGCAAAGCGAAGCUUCCUGGGAAUCGCAAGACACAACAGAGGCCGAGGUGGCGCUGGGGUCCAGGCCAGCGUCCCACCCCCGAACCCUGGGCUGGCAUGCAGACUCCAGGCGGGCUUCUGGAAACCAGUGCCCGGGGUGCCCACAUUGCCCCCACACAUCUGCACCGAGAGCAGAUCUGCACAGAGCGCCUUCAAUUUCUUGUGCCUUCAAUGAACGCUUAGCAAUUCAGAGACGGCGGGAAAUGAAAUACUCUCUGCUGUGCGGAAGGCAGCUUCUGCCCCCGCAGGACUCGUGGAUCAGAGUCAUUAUUGACCUUAUCUUCCUACUCAUCUCCAGUUCCCGGCGUUAUCACCUGCAUUCCCAAGGCCAGGGAACCGCCCGGGGACAACCCUCUGGGUGUGGCGCCUGCUGGCACCUGCGCGUGGACAUGGGCUCAACCACGGCUGUGCUUGCACCCCACCCUGGACAGACAGAGCCAGGCCAGGCAGAGCCUCCCGGUCAGCGCCUCGGGGACUCUGGGGGGAGAGCAGCUGUCAAGGUGUCACCGCCCCCCCCACUCACACACAAGGAGGCCCCCAGGGAGAAUCGGGGGCUCCGGUCCAUCCCUUUCGGUUCCAGUUUCAUGAACCUCGUGCAAGAAGCAGGUGGAAGCAGCUUCUUAUGCAAAUCCUUUUCUCAACAGUCUGAGACUUUCCCUUUUGAUAACAGGCAGCCAGCCCGAGGGGGGAGCUGUGGAUGGGCCCGCUUGGAGGCCCAGUUUAAAAUGUGA
This 1125-nucleotide long non-coding RNA is filed under the name Sus scrofa (pig). Its description in RNAcentral is "lncRNA (ENSSSCG00070013144.1)". The record is from RNAcentral. Lineage: Eukaryota; Metazoa; Chordata; Mammalia; Artiodactyla; Suidae.